Molecule: ribosomal RNA, 465 nt
Filed under: uncultured bacterium
Lineage: Bacteria
Description: bacterial SSU rRNA
Rfam family: Bacterial small subunit ribosomal RNA
Source: RNAcentral
AUUGAACGCUGGCGGCAUGCCUUACACAUGCAAGUCGAACGGUAACAGGUCUUCGGAUGCUGACGAGUGGCGAACGGGUGAGUAAUACAUCGGAACGUGCCCGAUCGUGGGGGAUAACGCAGCGAAAGCUGUGCUAAUACCGCAUACGAUCUACGGAUGAAAGCGGGGGAUCGCAAGACCUCGCGCGGACGGAGCGGCCGAUGGCAGAUUAGGUAGUUGGUGGGAUAAAAGCUUACCAAGCCGACGAUCUGUAGCUGGUCUGAGAGGACGACCAGCCACACUGGGACUGAGACACGGCCCAGACUCCUACGGGAGGCAGCAGUGGGGAAUUUUGGACAAUGGGGGAAACCCUGAUCCAGCCAUGCCGCGUGCAGGAUGAAGGCCUUCGGGUUGUAAACCGUCUUUCUAGUAGGACGAAGCGAAAGUAGACGGUACCUACAGAAGAAGGACCGGCCGAACUACGUG